GUUGCGCUCUGCACGCGUCAUCUGCACGUCUUUUCACUUUCGACCUCUAUGCCUUAUCAUAAAAUUUUCUCAUUAUCUUUCCUUAAAAAAAACAAAAGAAAUAACAGCAGAAUGAUCAAUAGCCUCAUUUAAGCUUUUCCGCCUUCUUUUCUUUUAUAUCGGCUAUAGGGGGCCUACGUCAUUUCUAUGAUGCAGCAUAUAAUUUAUUUAUCAUAUUAUAUUUCAAAAUAAUGUAAAUGUAGUAUUGUUUAGUAUUGAAACACACGUUGUUCUGAAACAGACCUGCAAAGAAAACGAUAAUUGCACCAACCGAAAUGCAACAGACGAAAAAUAGCAGAUCGUGCUGCAGUGUCCAUCUUCGUAAUAGUUGCUGUUGGCGACGCCAUUAGGAAUAGCCGCGUGCGGAUUACACAAUUGGCCUAUUUGAUGCGUUCCAAAUAAAACUCAUGCAUUUUGUUUUGUGACGCUGAAUACCUUAGACAUACUGCGCAUGACAACAUAUAUUAAAGUUUAUUCGCCAUGAUGACCAAUAUCAUUAAAUCCUGAAUGUCAGAAAGUGAUUCGUCUUACUUCGUCUUCCACACGGUUAUAGAGCUUAUCUGUUUGGCUGAAGCAAACACAAACUUAACGUUCUGUCGGAUUGCUACGCGUUGGUUCUUCAAUUUGUGUGCAUAUUGCGCAGUAUUUAUUGACAAGUUGUUUACCUCAUCUUCGUUGCAAUUGCAUGAAAUAGGAUUGUGUUGUCCAAACCUCACCUGGAUUACACAUGCAUCACAGGUGAAGUCAUCGCCUUGAACUCUUGACAAACAAAUGUUUGUUAUCAGUGUCAUCGUCUAGUCCACUCAGCCUACAAGUCCUGAACGGCUUUACGAACGUUUCCCAUGCCAUCUAGUGUUUGUCAGUGACGCCAUGUUGACGCUAAACAUUCUGGGAUCGGGCAAAAAUGGCGUUGUAUCGACUAAAGUUACCUCAUCACCGAAAAGAACAAACCAUGCUUCAAUGUUUAGUUUUUCAGCACUCGAAUCACCCCCAUUUAACCCCCAACGUAUGGUGGGAUAUAUCAAAAAGUAAAAGUAUGUGAGGGGCAAUAGGCGUGACCUAUCAAAAAUUCAUUUUCCUACCGUGUCGUCAGGUAACUGAGGCCAGGUGGAAAUUCUGCAUCAGUUGCUGUGUGUUCGCACAGACUGUUGCUGACUCGCCCUUCUCCGUGGUAGUGACGUGAAAAAUAAUACCGUGUCAUCUGUGCUCCUCACCAUUACCUGCCUCGCCCUGCCUCGCCAUCACGUCCAGCAAUCUAAACAAGAAGACCAAUUACUCCACUCUCGCUAUAUAGUCCAAGACAAAUUUUACUUUGUCCAAUUCUGUAUGGCGAAUCGCAAGCCCAAUUGUUUAGCUGUUCUCGGCUAGGCUGUCUUUCGGUCGAUUGCAAGAGCAUUCCAUGAGGCAUUCUGUGAGGCCCAAAACCAAAUAGAUGGGACAACGUAUACUAUGCGAGUUUGAUAUUGGAUCUCUCUCGAUUAUGCCGUUUGCGAUGCCGAUCUUGUCAGUAUUGAAACUAUACAGAUAAUUGCCUUUGAACAACAUUUAACAUAUAAAAGACGAGGCCUAGUGCAAAGAUGUUGCUCUUGACAGAGUAUACCUCGGCAUUUUUAAUUGUCAUUACCAUCGACAUUUUUCCCCUCUUUUAUCGUGGCCUCAGUUCUUCGGCAGCAUCCCAGCGUUUCCGCUCCUACGACUCCAUUGUUUGUCGAAAAAUGUUUUACCCCUUCCCCCGUCGUCUUGGCUUGCGCCUCGCACCGAAAUCAGGAUGUUUUCCGGUUUGAAUAUGUCGUUGAAUGACAUUCUUCGAAUGGCUUUGUUCGUGACCUAAAGCUAAUUUGAGGGGGAAAUGUUGAGAUCAUGUGCUAUGGGCGGUCCGUUGUAUCUUUUUGCGCCAUCCGGUUUCAGGACCAGCUUUUCCAACGAGGCGACACACAAUUCCAAUCCAACGUAGUUACUGUAAAAAUGGAGGACGGAGGGAUGAAAUGAGAGCGUUUUGCUUGUGAAAACCAGACAAAAUAACUCGACACGAAUUGUUCUCCCCUUUCACAGUAUAGAGAAUUUUGACAAUGUUUCGAUGAUCCUUCAACCUCUCCAUAACUUUUCUCUUCGUAUUCUUUGACUUUCUCUCGUGAAACUCUUUUGACUGCACAUUGGCGACCGUUCAACUCUCCUCGAUAAACCCCGGCAGAUUUCCCUAUCAGAUUCCCCAACAGUGCAGUGCGGUCGAACUGAAUUUCCUCCAAAGUAUUUAAACAGCACACAAACGAAAAAGGAAGUUUCGGAAUGUGUUUAAAUAGCUUAAGCCAUCAGUGUCCAGUUUUCGAAGAGUGCUGUUGCCUUCUUCCAGUCCUUAGCAAACGGCCAACGCCUUUAUGUUGUAGUCUUGGUAGUCUGUGUGCGUCUGUGUAUUCUCCAGUGCCGUCUGGGUGGACUCGACAUGAGAGAGGACGAUGCGAGGCCACCUAGUGGUAGACUUUACAACAUCUCCCCCUUUAACCAUAUACGAACAACAGCCCCCAUACCGAACACAAAUGAAUGCAAUCAAAAUGUAAGACAAGUGUGAAAAUAAACCAAAAUGAAUGAA
Daphnia magna is the source of this 2626-nucleotide long non-coding RNA. RefSeq lists it as uncharacterized. The record is from RefSeq and is a predicted model, not a curated record. Lineage: Eukaryota; Metazoa; Arthropoda; Branchiopoda; Diplostraca; Daphniidae. The transcript has 5 exons.